Xenopus laevis (African clawed frog) is the source of this 1201-nucleotide long non-coding RNA. RefSeq lists it as uncharacterized. NCBI's taxonomy places the organism in Eukaryota, Metazoa, Chordata, Amphibia, Anura, Pipidae. The record is from RefSeq and is a predicted model, not a curated record. The transcript has 2 exons.
AUAUAUUGAUGAUGUUUUUUUAUUGAUAAUGUUUUUUUUGUCUUGCACUGAUUGUAUAUCUAUUACGGGAAAGGAAAAUCAGGAGGUUACUUGUGCAGGAAAGGUACAUGUACAGGGAAUUAGAUGUGCAGGGAGGUUAUAUGUGCAGGGAAGGUGCAUGUACAGGGAAUUAGAUGUACAGGGAAAGUACAUGUACAGGGAAUUAGAUGUGCAGGGAGGUUAUAUGUGCAGGAAAGGCACAUGUACAGGGAAUUAGAUGUGCAGGGAACGUACAUGUACAAGGAGGUUAUAUGUGCAGGGAAGGUGCAUGUACAGGGAAUUACAUUUGCAGGGAAGGCACAUGUGCAGGGAAUUAAAUGUGCAGGGAAGGUACAUGUGCAGGGAAGGAACAUGUACAGGGAGGUUAUAUGUGCAGGGAGGUUACAUGUACAGGGAAUUAGAUGUGCAGAAAUGGUACAUGUGCAGGGAAGGUACAUGUACAGGGAGGUUAUAUGUGCAGGGAGGUUACAUGUACAAGGAAUUAGAAGGUACAUGUGCAUGGAAGUUACAUGUACAGGGAAUAAGAUGUGCAUGGAAGGUACAUGUACAGGGAAUUAGAUGUGCAUGGAAGGUACAUGUACAGGGAAUUAGAUGUUCAUGGAAGGUACAUGUACAGGGAGGUUAUAUGUGCAGGAAAGUUACAUGUACAGGGAAUUAGAUGUGCAUGGAAGGUACAUGUACAGGGAGGUUAUAUGUGCAGGAAAGUUACAUGUACAGGGAAUUAGAUGUGCAGGGAAGGUACAUGUCUAGGGAAGUUAUAUGUGCAGGAAAUGUACAGGGACGUUAGAUGUGAAGGUAAGUUAGAUGUGCAGAGAAGGAAUCUUCCCUGUCAAGUCUUGGAUUCCCAUGUUGCUUGCAUGUCAAGGGAGGAAUCUGUGUAAAUAAUAGGGUAUUUGGGGGAUUCCACACAUGCCAUAGCAACAGACAGUUGCAGUCAUCUGUCACCUGUCUGUUACAAGGGAAGGUGCCAGAGUUUUUGUUUGCAGGUAAUUCAACCCCCCCACUUCUUAAAAGUGAAGUGUGAUUCCCCGUGUUCACACGGCUUGACAUGCUCUGCCUGUAAUAUCCCUGUUCCCUAGACUGUACCACCUAGGUGUAAGGGGAAUCUGUCACCCUCCCUUCCACACGUCAGUAAAUAUUUCCAUCUUCUCUCCACCAUCAG